This 490-nucleotide ribosomal RNA is filed under the name uncultured bacterium. Its description in RNAcentral is "partial 16S ribosomal RNA". It matches the Rfam family "Bacterial small subunit ribosomal RNA", at positions 30 to 507 of the family's 1533-position model. The record is from RNAcentral.
AUUGAACGCUGGCGGCAGGCCUAACACAUGCAAGUCGAACGGUAACAGGAAGAAGCUUGCUUCUUUGCUGACGAGUGGCGGACGGGUGAGUAAUGUCUGGGAAACUGCCUGAUGGAGGGGGAUAACUACUGGAAACGGUAGCUAAUACCGGAUAACGUCGCAAGACCAAAGAGGGGGACCUUCGGGCCUCUUGCCAUCGGAUGUGCCCAGAUGGGAUUAGCUAGUAGGUGGGGUAACGGCUCACCUAGGCGACGAUCCCUAGCUGGUCUGAGAGGAUGACCAGCCACACUGGAACUGAGACACGGUCCAGACUCCUACGGGAGGCAGCAGUGGGGAAUAUUGCACAAUGGGCGCAAGCCUGAUGCAGCCAUGCCGCGUGUAUGAAGAAGGCCUUCGGGUUGUAAAGUACUUUCAGCGGGGAGGAAGGGAGUAAAGUUAAUACCUUUACUCAUUGACGUUACCCGCAGAAGAAGCACCGGCUAACUCCGUG